CGCGGCCUAUCAGCUUGUUGGUGGGGUAGUGGCUUACCAAGGCUUUGACGGGUAGCCGGCCUGAGAGGGUGACCGGCCACAUUGGGACUGAGAUACGGCCCAGACUCCUACGGGAGGCAGCAGUGGGGAAUAUUGCACAAUGGGCGGAAGCCUGAUGCAGCAACGCCGCGUGCGGGAUGACGGCCUUCGGGUUGUAAACCGCUUUCGCCUGUGACGAAGCGUGAGUGACGGUAAUGGGUAAAGAAGCACCGGCUAACUACGUGCCAGCAGCCGCGGUGAUACGUAGGGUGCGAGCGUUGUCCGGAUUUAUUGGGCGUAAAGGGCUCGUAGGUGGUUGAUCGCGUCGGAAGUGUAAUCUUGGGGCUUAACCCUGAGCGUGCUUUCGAUACGGGUUGACUUGAGGAAGGUAGGGGAGAAUGGAAUUCCUGGUGGAGCGGUGGAAUGCGCAAAUAUCAGGAGGAACACCAGUGGCGAAGGCGGUUCUCUGGGCCUUUCCUGACGCUGAGGAGCGAAAGCGUGGGGAGCGAACAGGCUUAGAUACCCUGGUAGUCCACGCUGUAAACGGUGGGUACUAGGUGUGGGGUCCAUUCCACGGGUUCCGUGCCGUAGCUAACGCUUUAAGUACCCCGCCUGGGGAGUACGG
RNAcentral lists this ribosomal RNA (643 nucleotides) under uncultured bacterium. RNAcentral's name for it is "bacterial SSU rRNA". It matches the Rfam family "Bacterial small subunit ribosomal RNA", at positions 232 to 885 of the family's 1533-position model. The record is from RNAcentral.